Molecule: long non-coding RNA, 1477 nt
Filed under: Cyanistes caeruleus (blue tit)
Lineage: Eukaryota; Metazoa; Chordata; Aves; Passeriformes; Paridae
Description: lncRNA (ENSCCEG00000022337.1)
Source: RNAcentral
AUGGGAAUUAUCCCAAUUGGGUGCACCUGGAGCACCUCAUCAACCAAUCAGAGCUGCUCCAAUCCCGUUAAUUCCUCCCACCUGGAAUUAAUCCUGACCAUCACUUCAAGCUGGGAGCUUGUCUUAAUUCCCAAAAAAACCUCGGGAGGAGCUGCUGGAUCCGGGUGCUCUGGGUUUUCCUGCUUUUCCCGGUUUUUAGCUCUGCAGUGUGGAAUUGUGAGGACACGGAUUUGUGGGAAGCCUCCUGCAGUGCCAGGAGCUGCUCCAGCGAAGAGAUGGAAGUUUGGGAAGGUGUUCCCUCAGCUCAUGGAAUUGUUUGGGAUGGCAGGGAUCUUAAAUCCCACCCAUUCCCACCCCUUUUCCAUGGGCAGGGACACUUCCCGCUAUCCCAGGCUGCUCCUGGCCUUGGACACUACCAGGGAUCUGGGGCAGCCACAGCUCCUCUGGGAAUUCCAUCCCAGCCCCUCAAUGCUCUGAGUUUUUUUAAGAAAUGAUGACGUAUUCUCAAAAACAGGAAUGUUGUUAUUGAAACCUCUGGAAAAUGGAAUUAAAUUUGGGCUGGGAGAGACUGGGUAAAAAUGCUGAUGGAUGCAUGGCAUGGAAAUCCUGGAUUUUUCCAGGGGAUUAUUGUAAAUGAACUCCUUUUACUUGCUAGAAGCUGUUUUGCAUGGAUUUGCACAUCCAGCCUUUUUUAUGGAGCAUCCAAGCAGGAGAAGCAGGAGGUGCAAACAGAACCUCCCCCCCCAGAUUCCCGGUGUUGUUUAUUCCCAAAUUUCCGUAAGCAAAAUCCAAUCCGAGCUCGGAGAUGCUCUAGGAGAGGGAGCUGAGAAAAUGAGGUUCAACCCCAAGCGACCGCCCAACCUCUUCCCAUCCUUCUAAUUCCAGGAUGGAAUGGCUCUGAUCCACAGUUUUAAUGGAAUUUUCCCCUGGAGCCCCCAGGAAGAGCCACCCGAUGCCACCAGCAGCACCAGGGCUGCCGAUGCUGCAGGAAUGCUUCAUUAACCACCAGAAAUUUAAUUGCUCCUUGAGUGCCGGCUGCAUUCCCAGAUUUCCCCGCAGCCUGGAUGAUCCAUGCGCUCUUCCCACUGACGGCAAUUUGGGAAUGCGCUGGGAUCACUCGGAGUCGUUUGGCCCAAAUUCCAGAGUGGCCCAUUGGGUGCUGCAUUCCCAAAAUUUUGCUGGAGCUCUGAGUACUCUGGCCCGAAUUCCGGAGUGGCCCAUUUGGGCCAGAGUGAGCCGUUAGGUGCUGAUUCCCAAAUUUUUUUGCUGGAGCUCUGAGCUCCCUGGCCCGAAUUCCGGAGUGGCCCAUUUGGUGCUGCAUUUCCAAAAUUUUUUUUGCUGAAGCUCUGACUUCCCUGGCAGCCAAAUUGUUCCUCCUUGGCAGAGGGAAGAGAGGCCUGGGAAUUUUAAAAGUGCAAAAUUGAAUUGUUGGAAUAUUCCAGGGAACAAAGUCAUGGGAAGAUGAUUAAGGAAUUCU